AACGAACGCUGGCGGCAUGCCUAACACAUGCAAGUCGAACGAAACCUUCGGGUCUAGUGGCGCACGGGUGCGUAACGCGUUGGAACCUGCCCUUAGGUUCGGAAUAACUUCCCGAAAGGGGUGCUAAUACCGGAUAAUGUCUUCGGACCAAAGAUUGAUCGCCUUUGGAUGGGCCCGCGUUGGAUUAGCUAGUUGGUAGGGUAAACGCCUACCAAGGCGACGAUCCAUAGCUGGUCUGAGAGGAUGAUCAGCCACACUGGGACUGAGACACGGCCCAGACUACUACGGGAGGCAGCAGUGGGGAAUAUUGGACAAUGGGCGAAAGCAUGAUCCAGCAAUGACGCGUGAGCGAUGAAGGCCUUAGGGUUGUAAAGCUCUUUUAUCCGGGAUGAUAGUGACAGUACCGGGAGAAUAAGCACCGGCUAACUCCGUG
This 433-nucleotide ribosomal RNA is filed under the name uncultured bacterium. RNAcentral describes it as "partial 16S ribosomal RNA". It matches the Rfam family "Bacterial small subunit ribosomal RNA", at positions 29 to 507 of the family's 1533-position model. The record is from RNAcentral.